AUUGAACGCUGGCGGCAUGCUUUACACAUGCAAGUCGAACGGCAGCACGGGUGCUUGCACCUGGUGGCGAGUGGCGAACGGGUGAGUAAUGCAUCGGAACGUGCCCAUGAGUGGGGGAUAGCCCGGCGAAAGCCGGAUUAAUACCGCAUACGCCCUUAGGGGGAAAGCGGGGGAUCUUCGGACCUCGCGCUAUUGGAGCGGCCGAUGUCGGAUUAGCUAGUAGGUGAGGUAAAGGCUCACCUAGGCGACGAUCCGUAGCUGGUCUGAGAGGAUGAUCAGCCACACUGGGACUGAGACACGGCCCAGACUCCUACGGGAGGCAGCAGUGGGGAAUUUUGGACAAUGGGCGCAAGCCUGAUCCAGCCAUGCCGCGUGAGUGAAGAAGGCCUCGGUUGUAA
RNAcentral lists this ribosomal RNA (398 nucleotides) under uncultured bacterium. RNAcentral's name for it is "bacterial SSU rRNA". It matches the Rfam family "Bacterial small subunit ribosomal RNA", at positions 30 to 428 of the family's 1533-position model. The record is from RNAcentral.